UGCGUAGGUGGCCUUUUAAGUUGGAUGUGAAAUACCCGGGCUUAACCUGGGGGGUGCAUCUAAUACUGGAGGGCUAGAGUGCAGGAGAGGAAAGCGGAAUUCCUAGUGUAGCGGUGAAAUGCGUAGAUAUUAGGAGGAACACCAGUGGCGAAGGCGGCUUUCUGGACUGUAACUGACACUGAGGCACGAAAGCGUGGGGAGCAAACA
This 207-nucleotide ribosomal RNA is filed under the name uncultured bacterium. RNAcentral's name for it is "partial 16S ribosomal RNA". It matches the Rfam family "Bacterial small subunit ribosomal RNA", at positions 568 to 774 of the family's 1533-position model. The record is from RNAcentral.